GACGAACGCUGGCGGCGUGCUUAACACAUGCAAGUCGAACGGAAAGGCCCUGCUUUUGUGGGGUGCUCGAGUGGCGAAAGGGUGAGUAACACGUGAGUAACCUGCCCUUGACUUUGGGAUAACUUCAGGAAACUGGGGCUAAUACCGGAUAGGAGCUCCUGCUGCAUGGUGGGGGUUGGAAAGUUUCGGCGGUUGGGGAUGGACUCGCGGCUUAUCAGCUUGUUGGUGGGGUAGUGGCUUACCAAGGCUUUGACGGGUAGCCGGCCUGAGAGGGUGACCGGCCACAUUGGGACUGAGAUACGGCCCAGACUCCUACGGGAGGCAGCAGUGGGGAAUAUUGCACAAUGGGCGGAAGCCUGAUGCAGCAACGCCGCGUGCGGGAUGGCGGCCUUCGGGUUGUAAACCGCUUUCGCCUGUGACGAAGCGUGAGUGACGGUAAUGGGUAAAGAAGCACCGGCUAACUACGUG
Molecule: ribosomal RNA, 468 nt
Filed under: uncultured bacterium
Lineage: Bacteria
Description: partial 16S ribosomal RNA
Rfam family: Bacterial small subunit ribosomal RNA
Source: RNAcentral